AUUUGAACGCUGGCGGCAUGCCUUACACAUGCAAGUCGAACGGUAACGCGGGGCAACCUGGCGACGAGUGGCGAACGGGGUGAGUAAUAUAUCGGAACGUGCCCAGUCGUGGGGGAUAACUGCUCGAAAGAGCAGCUAAUACCGCAUACGACCUGAGGGUGAAAGCGGGGGAUCUUCGGACCUCGCGCGAUUGGAGCGGCCGAUAUCAGAUUAGGUAGUUGGUGGGAUAAAAGCUUACCAAGCCGACGAUCUGUAGCUGGUCUGAGAGGACGACCAGCCACACCUGGGACUGAGACAGGCCCAGACUCCUACGGGGGGCAGCAGUGGGGGAAUAUUGGACAAUGGGGGGCAACCCUGAUCCGAGCCCAUGGCCGCGUGUGUGAAGAAGGGCUUUC
Molecule: ribosomal RNA, 395 nt
Filed under: uncultured bacterium
Lineage: Bacteria
Description: bacterial SSU rRNA
Rfam family: Bacterial small subunit ribosomal RNA
Source: RNAcentral